UAGGGAAUCUUCCGCAAUGGGCGAAAGCCUGACGGAGCAACGCCGCGUGAGUGAUGAAGGUCUUCGGAUCGUAAAACUCUGUUAUUAGGGAAGAACAAAUGUGUAAGUAACUAUGCACAUCUUGACGGUACCUAAUCAGAAAGCCACGGCUAACUACGUGCCAGCAGCCGCGGUAAUACGUAGGUGGCAAGCGUUGUCCGGAUUUAUUGGGCGUAAAGCGAGCGCAGGCGGUCAAUUAAGUCUGAUGUGAAAGCCCCCGGCUCAACCGGGGAGGGUCAUUGGAAACUGGUUGACUUGAGUGCAGAAGAGGAGAGUGGAAUUCCAUGUGUAGCGGUGAAAUGCGCAGAGAUAUGGAGGAACACCAGUGGCGAAGGCGACUUUCUGGUCUGUAACUGACGCUGAUGUGCGAAAGCGUGGGGAUCAAACAGG
Molecule: ribosomal RNA, 429 nt
Filed under: Bacteroidota bacterium
Lineage: Bacteria; Pseudomonadati; Bacteroidota
Description: Bacteroidetes bacterium partial 16S ribosomal RNA
Rfam family: Bacterial small subunit ribosomal RNA
Source: RNAcentral